RNAcentral lists this ribosomal RNA (553 nucleotides) under uncultured bacterium. Its description in RNAcentral is "partial 16S ribosomal RNA". It matches the Rfam family "Bacterial small subunit ribosomal RNA", at positions 356 to 900 of the family's 1533-position model. The record is from RNAcentral.
AGGGAAUCUUCGGCAAUGGGGGCAACCCUGACCGAGCAACGCCGCGUGAGUGAAGAAGGUUUUCGGAUCGUAAAGCUCUGUUGUAAGUCAAGAACGGGUGUGAGAGUGGAAAGUUCACACUGUGACGGUAGCUUACCAGAGAGGGACGGCUAACUACGUGCCAGCAGCCGCGGUAAUACGUAGGUCCCGAGCGUUGUCCGGAUUUAUUGGGCGUAAAGCGAGCGCAGGCGGUUUGAUAAGUCUGAAGUUAAAGGCUGUGGCUCAACCAUAGUUCGCUUUGGAAACUGUCAAACUUGAGUGCAGAAGGGGAGAGUGGAAUUCCAUGUGUAGCGGUGAAAUGCGUAGAUAUAUGGAGGAACACCGGUGGCGAAAGCGGCUCUCUGGUCUGUAACUGACGCUGAGGCUCGAAAGCGUGGGGAGCGAACAGGAUUAGAUACCCUGGUAGUCCACGCCGUAAACGAUGAGUGCUAGGUGUUGGAUCCUUUCCGGGAUUCAGUGCCGCAGCUAACGCAUUAAGCACUCCGCCUGGGGAGUACGACCGCAAGGUUGAAAC